UACGUAGGGGGCCAGCGUUGUCCGAAGUUACUGGGCGUAAAGAGCGCGUAGGCGGGCCCUUAAGUGGGGGGUGAAAGGUUGGGGCUCAACCCCAACACUGCCUUUCAUACUGGGGGCCUUGAGUGCGGGAGAGGCGAGUGGAAUGGUCGGUGUAGCGGUGAAAUGCGUAGAUAUCGAUCGGAACACCCAUGGCGAAGGCAGCUCGCUGGCCUGCAACUGACGCUGAGGCGCGAAGCCGGGGAGCGAACAGG
RNAcentral lists this ribosomal RNA (251 nucleotides) under uncultured bacterium. RNAcentral's name for it is "partial 16S ribosomal RNA". It matches the Rfam family "Bacterial small subunit ribosomal RNA", at positions 524 to 776 of the family's 1533-position model. The record is from RNAcentral.